This is a long non-coding RNA of Frieseomelitta varia, 228 nucleotides long. RefSeq lists it as uncharacterized. Lineage: Eukaryota; Metazoa; Arthropoda; Insecta; Hymenoptera; Apidae. The record is from RefSeq and is a predicted model, not a curated record. The transcript has 3 exons.
UUUUAACGUUUACUUCCUCCAAUGGUAAUAUUAAGCUUUUAUAUUUAUUAUAUGUUUUAUUGAAAACUAAAAUAAUAAUUUGGCGUUUUAAAGAGUUCACCACAUUAUUGCAUUUGGGGUCUGUGUGAUCCACAGCAAUAUUGUUGCGGUGAUAAUGUUUGCUGUAAUGAAUCUGAUUUUAAUUCUCUGCUUUUAACGGUCAUCAUUUCUGGAACAGGGUUAUUACUC